AACGAACGCUGGCGGCAGGCCUAACACAUGCAAGUCGAACGAGAAUCUACUGAAAGAGUUUUCGGACAAUGGAUGUAGAGGAAAGUGGCGGACGGGUGAGUAACGCGUGAGGAACCUGCCUUGAAGAGGGGGACGACAGUUGGAAACGACUGCUAAUACCGCAUGAAGCAUAGGGGUCGCAUGAUUCUUAUGCCAAAGAUUUAUCGCUUCAAGAUGGCCUCGCGUCUGAUUAGCUAGUUGGCGGGGUAACGGCCCACCAAGGCGACGAUCAGUAGCCGGACUGAGAGGUUGAACGGCCACAUUGGGACUGAGAUACGGCCCAGACUCCUACGGGAGGCAGCAGUGGGGAAUAUUGGGCAAUGGGCGCAAGCCUGACCCAGCAACGCCGCGUGAAGGAAGAAGGCUUUCGGGUUGUAAACUUCUUUUAAGAGGGAAGAGCAGAAGACGGUACCUCUAGAAUAAGCCACGGCUAACUACGUGCCAGCAGCCGCAGUAA
Molecule: ribosomal RNA, 496 nt
Filed under: uncultured bacterium
Lineage: Bacteria
Description: partial 16S ribosomal RNA
Rfam family: Bacterial small subunit ribosomal RNA
Source: RNAcentral